RNAcentral lists this long non-coding RNA (512 nucleotides) under Lathyrus oleraceus (garden pea). RNAcentral's name for it is "Pisum sativum (pea) long non-coding RNA (PSAT_LNC000912)". Lineage: Eukaryota; Viridiplantae; Streptophyta; Magnoliopsida; Fabales; Fabaceae. The record is from RNAcentral.
UCAACAUGGCUGACAUUUCAAUGUCCACUCUUGCAACAUCAACUUGGUUGACUCUUGUUAUCGAGAUUGGGAUCAUUGACCGGCGAGGGAGGGAAACGGAAGUCCAGUGAGGGAGCAAGUAGUGGGAAGUGAGAGUUCAUGCUUUGUUUCUGGUUAUUUGAUGUCGUGCAGCUGCUGUUGAAGGAUCGUGGCAAGUGAUGCAGAGCCCUUCCUUGUGAGGUUUAGUUUCGACAAAUGGUUUUGCAGGUUAUCACGUCGUCAUUAUUGGCCUACUUGUAUAGGGUUUAUGCAGGACUACUUCAUAGGCAAGAUGUUGUUGUUUGUAAUUUGAUGAUGGCUUGUUGGAUGUUACAGGUUUAUGCAACGCUGUUGUUGGUAUGAUGCGGGCAUUUGAGGGGAAGCAUGGGGCUCGAAAUCAUCACAUGAACAAUAAUGGCAUUACAGGGAGAGUUUGAACGCAAGGGAAUGGAACAGUUGGCGCAACCGGGCUAUGAUGUACCAUGGUUUGCGGG